AAGCCCGGAGAUUCCCUCCGCCUCUCGCUUCACUUUUACUGACUACGAAAUGAACUGGGUCCGUCAGGCUCCUGGGAAGGGGCUAGAGUGGGUGGCUAGGGUUAGCUCCCCAAGCGGAUCGAGCCAGUGGUAUACUAAGGCUGUCGAAGGGCGAUUCACCAUCUCCAGAGACAACUCCAUCACCACGAUUGAAAUCCUCCAGAAAAGGUUUCCUCUGGGAGGUUAGAUCCAGACCUGUCGCUGUGUUCAGGGACGUCAGGAAGCACAGGAGGCACUCGGACCAGCAGCAGCCAGCUCAGGACUGAGAUCACGAUCAGGAGGAAUAGGGGCCUGGGCACCUCCACCAGUGCGAGGCGAUGUUAGAAUCUUGUGCCUCUGCUUGGACAAACUCCCAGUAAUUGUUUCUAUGUCCGGUCCCAGGUUCUUCUGGUGGAGUCCGGAGGUGGAAUUCAGAAGCCCGGAGACUCUCUCAGCCUCUCCUGCAAAGCCUCCGGGUUCACCUUCACCAACUACCAUAUGAGCUGGGUCCGUCAGGCACCCGGGAAGGGCCUGGAGUGGGUCUCACUGAUAUACAACCCUGCUAAUAGCCACAGCACGUUUUACAGUUAUUCACCAUCUCCAGAGACGACUCCAAGAGCCUGGUGUAGCUGCAAAUGACCAGACUGAAAGCGGAAGACACCGGCCGCUAUUACUGUCCGAGAGACACAGCGAUCAGAAAUCAACUGCAGUGAAUACAAAAACCUCUUCCUCGAAUCUAAACAUUCUCAGCGCCAGCAGAGAGCAGCAGAUACCCGGAGAAGGCUGAAUGGUGCUCCAUGAGCGCAUUGUCUCUGUUUGCUCUUUAAUGCAUAAGCACAAGCUGGAGAAGAGUUAAAGAUGAGUUUGUUUUAUUUUCUGGGUAAUUUCGGGCCGUUCCUAUACACCUGGUGGUUCACCCUGAAUACAGGCGUUAGGACUCUGUUCAAAGACAAGACCAAGCCAUUUUAGUGUGGGAUUUUCAAAGGCUCCCAAAUGGUUCCAGCUUUCUUUUUCGAAACUCCUGUGUUGGGCAGGAGGUGCGUGUUGGAAACAGCUGUGGGGUGAGGUUUGGCCAAAUUGCCAAGAACACGCAGUAAGGAAGCAUCGCUUUCAGAUUGCCUGUAGGUCAUGUCCAAAGAGUAGUGUCAGGGGAUACUUCUGGUUCUGUUUUCACAUAGUCCCGUUCUUUGGCUGAGGGUUCUGGUCUCUGCUAUUCCCUAUCAGGUCACCGCCCCCCCGCCCCGCUCAAUCUCUCAUCGGGCCUGCUCCCCUUGCUGGGUUCAGCCCCUUUUAUUUCCAACCCGCCCGGCUCUCCCCAGAUUAUGCAAAGCUGACACAGCCAAUUCCCUACUUACGCACUGAC
Long non-coding RNA from Mauremys mutica (yellowpond turtle), 1381 nucleotides. RefSeq lists it as uncharacterized. The transcript has 5 exons. NCBI's taxonomy places the organism in Eukaryota, Metazoa, Chordata, Testudines, Geoemydidae. The record is from RefSeq and is a predicted model, not a curated record.